GAUGAACGCUGGCGGCGUGCCUAAUACAUGCAAGUCGAGCGAACAGACGAGGAGCUUGCUCCUCUGACGUUAGCGGCGGAAGGGGGAGUAACACGUGGAUAACCUACCUAUAAGACUGGGAUAACUUCGGGAAACCGGAGCUAAUACCGGAUAAUAUAUUGAACCGCAUGGUUCAAUAGUGAAAGACGGUUUUGCUGUCACUUAUAGAUGGAUCCGCGCCGCAUUAGCUAGUUGGUAAGGUAACAGCUUACCAAGGCAACGAUGCGUAGCCGACCUGAGAGGGUGAUCGGCCACACUGGAUCUGAGACCCGGUCCAGACUCCUACGGGGGGCAGCAGUAGGGACUCUUCCGCAAUGGGCGAGAGCCUGACGGAGCAACGCCGCGUGAGUGAUGAAGGUCUUCGGCUCGUAAAACUCUGUUAUUAGGGAAGAACAAAUGUGUAAGUAACUAUGCACGUCUUGACGGUACCUAAUCAGAAAGCCACGGCUAACUACGU
Molecule: ribosomal RNA, 496 nt
Filed under: uncultured bacterium
Lineage: Bacteria
Description: partial 16S ribosomal RNA
Rfam family: Bacterial small subunit ribosomal RNA
Source: RNAcentral